RNAcentral lists this ribosomal RNA (410 nucleotides) under uncultured Gammaproteobacteria bacterium. RNAcentral describes it as "bacterial SSU rRNA". It matches the Rfam family "Bacterial small subunit ribosomal RNA", at positions 370 to 779 of the family's 1533-position model. The record is from RNAcentral. Lineage: Bacteria; Pseudomonadati; Pseudomonadota; Gammaproteobacteria.
AAUGGGGGCAACCCUGACCCAGCCAUGCCGCGUGCAGGAAGACGGCCUCUGGGUUGUAAACUGCUUUUGCCAGGGGCUAAUAAGGUACUAUACGUACCGAUGCAGGUACCUGGAGAAUAAGCACCGGCUAACUACGUGCCAGCAGCCGCGGUAAUACGUAGGGUGCAAGCGUUGUCCGGAUUUAUUGGGUUUAAAGGGUGCGCAGGCGGCGCGCUCAGUCCGUGGUGAAAUGGCCCCGCUCAACGGGGUCCCCGCCAUGGAUACUGGUGCGCUUGAGUUCGCCAGAGGGGGCUAGAAUGCGUGGUGUAGCGGUGAAAUGCAUAGAUAUCACGCAGAAUACCGAUUGCGAAGGCAGGCCCCUAUGGCGCGACUGACGCUGAGGCACGAAAGCGUGGGGAGCGAACAGGAUU